GGAGAGGAAAGAAAUCAACCUCGUUGCAAUCCAAACCCUAAUUUCUAUCUCUUUUGGGAGAAGGAAGAAAGUAUACUCUUGAUCCCCUAUCCCUAGUUCCCUCCUUCUUUCAUCCUUUUUACCAUUUCCUUGAGUGUAGAUACUGGUAAGAGAAGGUGCAAUCUCCAGAGAAUAUCAACAAAGUCACGUUGUAAAGAUGACAAGUGAAAAUGAAAGUGAGGAUGAUGAUGACGCAGACAAUGAAAAUGAUAAUGACAGUUGAUUGGAUCAGUAAUUUACCAUUAUUUGCAAAGGGAAGGAUUCGGUUGAAGUGUGGAAAGGCUAGGAGGAGAAGAAGGGGCUACUCCUAAAAUGAUUUGGCAGAAUCAUGGAUGUGAAGGGACUUUCUAUACCUCAAAUUAGGACCCAUCUUCAGGUUGAAAAAAAAAAAAAAUCCUUCUUUUAUGUCCCUUUCCCUAUCCUGGUUUGCAUUAUCUGCAGCUCUGAAUGUAAAUACUGAAUAUAAUACUACGGCACCAUCCACUUGAAGAAGGAAGUGUACAUACAUCCUCCUAUUAUCAUGCUCUGCGAAUGCUUCUGAGCGGUAGAGUACUCAGUCUCGAUAAACUUGCAGAAAACUUUGGCUUGAUAUGCUCACAAGACAUUGUGUUUUGCUGCUUAGGAAACAUCAGUCAGUAUCAUCCAUCAAAGAUAACCCGGCCCUCAAGUAAUUAAUUAGCUAGAAGAUGAGAAUGUCAUGUAUUUCUUGGUGAUGACCAUCUGAUUAGAUAUGAGUGUUGUUGAUUGGAUUAGUGACUUACCAUGUGUAAGGAUUUUGGAUAAUCUUGAUGUCACAUUUUAAUGAAAUGAAAUUAUAUUUAUUUUAUUACAA
Molecule: long non-coding RNA, 871 nt
Organism: Vitis riparia (riverbank grape)
Lineage: Eukaryota; Viridiplantae; Streptophyta; Magnoliopsida; Vitales; Vitaceae
Exons: 6
Source: RefSeq, a predicted model, not a curated record